CAAUAAGCGGAGGAAAAGAAACCAACAGGGAUUGCCUCAGUAACGGCGAGUGAAGCGGCAACAGCUCAAAUUUGAAAUCUGGGUCUUUCAGGCUCCGAGUUGUAAUUUGUAGAAGAUGCUUCGGGUGUGGCUCCGGUCUAAGUUCCUUGGAACAGGACGUCAUAGAGGGUGAGAAUCCCGUACGUGACUGGUCGCCUUCGCCCAUGUGAAGCUCUUUCGACGAGUCGAGUUGUUUGGGAAUGCAGCUCAAAAUGGGUGGUAAAUUUCAUCUAAAGCUAAAUAUUGGCCAGAGACCGAUAGCGCACAAGUAGAGUGAUCGAAAGAUGAAAAGCACUUUGGAAAGAGAGUUAAACAGUACGUGAAAUUGUUGAAAGGGAAGCGCUUGCAACCAGACUUGCACGCUGCUGAUCAUCCGGGGUUCUCCCCGGUGCACUCGGUUGCGUUCAGGCCAGCAUCGGUUUGGGUGGUUGGAUAAAGGCCUUGGGAAUGUAGCUUCUUUCGGGGAGUGUUAUAGCCCUCGGUGCAAUGCAGCCUACCCGGACCGAGG
RNAcentral lists this ribosomal RNA (547 nucleotides) under Constrictochalara ellisii. Its description in RNAcentral is "LSU rRNA". It matches the Rfam family "Eukaryotic large subunit ribosomal RNA", at positions 44 to 594 of the family's 3401-position model. The record is from RNAcentral. Lineage: Eukaryota; Fungi; Ascomycota; Leotiomycetes; Helotiales; Hamatocanthoscyphaceae.